AAAAGUCGUAACAAGGUCUCCGUUGCGUGAACCAGCGGAGGGAUCUUACCGAGUUUACAACUCCCAAACCCCAAUGUGAACGUUACCAAUCUGUUGCCUCGGCGGGAUUCUCUGCCCCGGGCGCGUCGCAGCCCCGGAUCCCAUGGCGCCCGCCGGAGGACCAACUCAAACUCUUUUUUCUCUCCGUCGCGGCUUCCGUCGCGGCUCUGUUUUACCUUUGCUCUGAGCCUUUCUCGGCGACCCUAGCGGGCGUCUCGAAAAUGAAUCAAAACUUUCAACAACGGAUCUCUUGGUUCUGGCAUCGAUGAAGAACGGCAGGAAAUGCGAUAAGUAAUGUGAAUUGCAGAAUUCAGUGAAUCAUCGAAUCUUUGAACGCACAUUGCGCCCGCCAGUAUUCUGGCGGGCAUGCCUGUCCGAGCGUCAUUUCAACCCUCGAACCCCUCCGGGGGGUCGGCGUUGGGGAUCGGCCCCUCACCGGGCCGCCCCCGAAAUACAGUGGCGGUCUCGCCGCAGCCUCUCCUGCGCAGUAGUUUGCACACUCGCACCGGGAGCGCGGCGCGGCCACAGCCGUAAAACACCCCAAACUCUGAAAUGUUGACCUCGGAUCAGGUAGGAAUACCCGCUGAACUUAAGCAUAUCAAUAAGCCGG
Molecule: ribosomal RNA, 649 nt
Filed under: Trichoderma reesei
Lineage: Eukaryota; Fungi; Ascomycota; Sordariomycetes; Hypocreales; Hypocreaceae
Description: eukaryotic LSU rRNA
Rfam family: 5.8S ribosomal RNA (bases 270-423)
Source: RNAcentral